RNAcentral lists this ribosomal RNA (597 nucleotides) under Hepatozoon canis. RNAcentral's name for it is "SSU rRNA". It matches the Rfam family "Eukaryotic small subunit ribosomal RNA", at positions 479 to 1086 of the family's 1831-position model. Lineage: Eukaryota; Apicomplexa; Hepatozoidae. The record is from RNAcentral.
AACAAUACAAGGCAGUUAAAAUGCUUUGUAAUUGGAAUGAUAGAAAUUUAAACCCUUUUUAAAGUAUCAAUUGGAGGGCAAGUCUGGUGCCAGCAGCCGCGGUAAUUCCAGCUCCAAUAGCGUAUAUUAAAAUUGUUGCAGUUAAAAAGCUCGUAGUUGAAGUUCUGCURAAAGUAACCGGUCUGCUUUUAAUAAAAGUGGUAUCUUGGURUGUAUUUAGCAAUGAUGUCCUUUGAAGUGUUUUUUACUUUAUUGUAAUAAAGCAUAUUCAGGACUUUUACUUUGAGAAAAUUAGAGUGUUUCUAGCAGGCUGACGCUUUGAAUACUGCAGCAUGGAAUAAUAAGAUAGGAUUUUAGUUCUACAUUAUUGGUUUUAAGAGCUAAAUUAAUGAUUGAUAGGGACAGUUGGGGGCAUUUGUAUUUAACUGUCAGAGGUGAAAUUCUUAGAUUUGUUAAAGACAAACUACUGCGAAAGCAUUUGCCAAAGAUGUUUUCAUUAAUCAAGAACGAAAGUUAGGGGAUCGAAGACGAUCAGAUACCGUCGUAGUCUUAACUAUAAACUAUGCCGACUAGAGAUUGGAGGUCGUCUUUAUAAAC